GGUCAGGUAACCCAGAUUUUGGGGCGUCACAUCUACUAUCUCCUCCAAAUUAAAAGUUCAUCGUUAAUAUUUCAUUCCUGUAAUACUCAUCAACAGUUCUUUGUUGUACCCAAGACAAAGAGAAAUUGCAUCACCUGUCUUCACCUGAACCACUAGAGAUUAUAGUUAAACUCGUAAUUCAUAUUUAUAAUCAUGUAAAUCAACAGUUUCUCUUUGCCACAAAGGCUUAAUAGAACGUUUACUCAAUAUCCUUACCCCAAAGGCUAAAGAUAUUCAAAUGUAAUAACAAUGAUCAUACCAAUCAGUUGUUUAUCUUUGCACUACGGGCCAAAGAUAUUCAACUAUAAAACCAAUAGUCAUGAUCAUACCAAUCAAUUGUCUGUCAGUGCACUACGGCCAAAGACAUACAAUUGUUAACUAAUGGUCAUGAUCCUGCCAAUCACAUCAUCGAAUUAUCCAUGCACUACGGGCCAAUGAUAUUCAUUAAUAUCACCAGUGGUCAUGAUCAUGUCAUACACCUGUCCAUCUUUGCACUACAGGCCAAAGCUAUCAUUCAACAGUUCGUCUUUACACGUAAGCCAAAGAUAUACAACUGUAAAAUGAAUAAUCAACAGUCCAUCUUUGCACGUAAGCCAAAAAAUAUACAACUGUUAACUAAUAAUCAACAUUCCAUCUAUGCACUACGUACGGACCAAAGAUGACUUUCGUUACAAUAUAAGCAUGAGGAUGAUGACAAUGAUAUAAGCAUCAAUUAAACGGAAUCAAGGAUAAAUACUAAAGACUUUAAAUUUAUCCAGAGUUUAAAAAUACCCAAAUUGUCAACAUGAUACUGCUUUGUGGAGUAAACUUCAAGAAUAAUAUUCAUGUAUCAAAAAUAACUUUGGACAAAAAAGAUUUUAAUUUUUGUCGUGAAUAGUACCCCGUGAAUAGUACUUCAGGAAUAGUACCCCGGAAAUAGUACCCCGAUAUAAAAAGCGCCCGAAUACCCGAGUGAAUAAUAUUUGAGUGAAUAGUAACUCGUGAAUAAUAUCCUGUAAAUAGUACCCCAAUAUGAAAAGUACCCCGAAUACCCGAGUGAAUAAUAUUCGAGUGAAUACUAACCGAGUGAAUAGUAACUCAUGAAUAGUAACUCGUGAUUAGUUCCCCGGGUGAAAAUAUUAAUAUUUAAUAAGAAAGUUCAGAUCAAUAUUCCAAUGGAACGAUACUGGAUGAAGCACAAAACUCAAGGAUAUUCCACUAAUUUUAGGAAUUAUAGAAGCAAUACUUAUCAUAGUAAGUUUAGAUUUAAGAAUAUGAAAAGAAAUAACAUACGAAACUGUAAAUGGAUGAAUACGGUACGUAAUCCACAUAGACAGAUUAUUCCCACAGAUUAAAGGAUAAAUACGAAAAAUAGUAUUCCUUACGAAUACAACAAAUA
This 1417-nucleotide long non-coding RNA is filed under the name Panax ginseng (ginseng). Its description in RNAcentral is "long non-coding RNA (PGIN_LNC018957)". Lineage: Eukaryota; Viridiplantae; Streptophyta; Magnoliopsida; Apiales; Araliaceae. The record is from RNAcentral.